RNAcentral lists this ribosomal RNA (492 nucleotides) under uncultured bacterium. RNAcentral's name for it is "partial 16S ribosomal RNA". It matches the Rfam family "Bacterial small subunit ribosomal RNA", at positions 29 to 507 of the family's 1533-position model. The record is from RNAcentral.
AGUGAACGCUGGCGGUAGGCCUAACACAUGCAAGUCGAACGGCAGCACAGUAAGAGCUUGCUCUUACGGGUGGCGAGUGGCGGACGUGUGAGGAAUACAUCGGAAUCUACUUUUUCGUGGGGGAUAACGUAGGGAAACUUACGCUAAUACCGCAUACGACCUACGGGUGAAAGCAGGGGAUCUUCGGACCUUGCGCGAUUGAAUGAGCCGAUGUCGGAUUAGCUAGUUGGCGGGGUAAAGGCCCACCAAGGCGACGAUCCGUAGCUGGUCUGAGAGGAUGAUAAGCAACCCUGGAACUGAGACACGGUCCAGACUCCUACGGGAGGCAGCAGUGGGGAAUAUUGGACAAUGGGCGCAAGCCUGAUCCAGCCAUACCGCGUGGGUGAAGAAGGCCUUCGGGUUGUAAAGCCCUUUUGUUGGGAAAGAAAAGCAGCAGGUUAAUACCCCGCUGUUCUGACGGUACCCAAAGAAUAAGCACCGGCUAACUUCGUG